This 253-nucleotide ribosomal RNA is filed under the name uncultured bacterium. RNAcentral describes it as "partial 16S ribosomal RNA". It matches the Rfam family "Bacterial small subunit ribosomal RNA", at positions 524 to 776 of the family's 1533-position model. The record is from RNAcentral.
UACGAAGGGUGCAAACGUUGCUCGGAAUCAUUGGGCGUAAAGCGCACGUAGGCGGCUUCGCAAGUCGGAUGUGAAAUCCCUCGGCUCAACCGAGGACGUGCAUCCGAAACUGCGGAGCUUGAGUACUGAAGAGGAUCGCGGAAUUCCCGGUGUAGAGGUGAAAUUCGUAGAUAUCGGGAGGAACACCAGUGGCGAAGGCGGCGAUCUGGGCAGAUACUGACGCUGAGGUGCGAAGGCGUGGGGAGCAAACAGG